GCCAGGAGACCCUGGGACAAAGAGGGAAUGCUAGCUGCUGCUCAUACAGGGAAAGUCAUGUCUCUGGCCAAGUGGCUCCUCUGGCAGCAGCUCGACCCUGGCCCCUGGCCAGCCACAUAUUGGGAGCAGAGUCUGAAGGCAGGCUUUGUCUCAGAGGAAGGAUGGUGUGAGCGAGCACUGAGCAGUGGGGGGUGCAGCCAGGGCCCACUGCAGAACUGAGGGAACCUGGGAUGCCUGAGGAGAAAAGGCAAAGUGGGGCCACCCGUUGCCCCUCUGCCUCUCUCAGUAACGUAGCUCACAAACAACCAAAGGACCUGGUGUGAGUUAACUCGUUUUUCUUAUCACUGUUCUCAGGUUUACCUCUCAGAAAGACAGCCCUGCGUCCCUUGAGCGAAUCUGCAACCCUCUCCACAGCUCUGCCGCGGGGCAGAUAGAAGAACAGGGGCUCACUGGAGCUCAGAGACCCAAAUGGGUCGGUCGGCCAUGGGAACCUUACAGGAGGCCCUGUCUUAGAGCAACACAGGGAGCGGUCCCCAGUUCCUGGAACUGCAAAACCGCAGGGGCAGAAAAACGCUGCAACCCCAGUGAGACCGCUCAUGCGCAUUUCUCUGUCCUCAGCUGGAUGGAGAAUUGAUGGACUUGAACGUCAGUGAACAUGAAUCUUUUAUUAUCUGUUCUUUCCUUCUCCUCCGGGACUUCUUUCAUUUUUCCCCCCUACCCCUCCCCUCAGACCAGUACUUUUCAACUAUCGUGUGCUAAUGAUCUGUGAGAUGGCUCCGAGGUAAAGAAUAUUGUGAAGAGGCCUGGUGACCUGACCUGAGAUUCCCAGGACCCACCCACACGAUGAAAGGAGAGAAUGGACUUCCUCCUGAAAUGGUUCUCUCUCUCUCUCCCCCUCCCCCCCCAUUUGACGAAGAAUCACUAAGGUGGCCCAGUGCAGAGUGCAAGUUCCACGCCAGCCAGGGCUACGUAGGGAGACUUUAUCUUAAAAGAGCAGAGGAGGAACCCACAAAGUCAGGAAACAGAGGGGAAGCCCAGCUUUACUCUCAUUAGAUUGAGACAUCAGCCCCUCAUUCGCUUCCCCCUUGCUACAGCUCGCAAGCUGCCCAAUGCCCCACCACGUCUCAAGCUGGAGGAGACAAAAGACACCGUGGGAGGCAAGUCGUGAGUGUGGCUGCGCAUGAUAUCAUCCAGCAAGCGCUGGAGGAAUGCCACCAUGGGAGGAUUCAUCCCGAGUCUGUUGCAGCCGCGUCUCUGGCUCCUCCAGUGCUCAUUCCUGUGCUCACAGGGCCCCAUUUCCUUAGAACUUCCGGUGGAGCCCCGAGUCUCAGAGUUCAGGUCUCCCCUCUGCCUGUCUUUUCUUGAUUUCCUGUGAAAUGCAUCAGGAAGACCGGCCUCCAGCAGGAACUUGGGUGGAAGACCAGAGAUUGGGUAGAGAAGCCAAACCUCUGCCCCGCCUGGAUGUGUUCCAGGACAAGAAGGCAGGAGGCCUCUCGAGAAGAGACUGAUUCACCCCGCCCUUUGUAUCGGAAGCCAGAGUUCCGCGUGGAAACAGCUCUCCAGCUUCCUAAUGGAGUCUCACCCUGAAAUUAAUUACUACUUUCUCCUGCUGGAAUUACAAUUCUGAAUCUUUGCUGCUACAUGUUUAUGUGUACAUGCAUGUGUGUAUAGAGAGUCGUCCAGGGAACCUUCUUGGCUGAAGCCUGAAACCUGCGUGUCUAAAAGGCGGCUGGGUGUCUGUCCUGGUCUUCAGCGCAUACCUGGAGCUCGGGUCUCCUUGGAUUGCUCAGCAUCAGCUCUCGGCCCUGAUCCACAGAAGAAGCAUCUGGAGAACGUGGAAAACUCAAUGAAGUUAGAUGUUCUGGGAAUGAAGUGAAUGGAUUUUAGGCUCCCUAGUGUGGAGCCCACAGAAGUGGGUCUGCUGCACCUUGCUCCUUCAUUUUUAAGACAGGAGAUCUGACCCAGGAAGUGGCUGCCUACAGGAUACCUGGUCUAAGGUGUGGUCACUGCAUGUCCUGUCUGAAACAUCAGGAUGCUUAACUCAGGAAAUAGUGGCUUAAUGUCUCAAGUAUUGAAGCAAACGGUUGUUCUGUUUGUCCUUUGUGUCAUGUUAAAGCAGUCAUUUGCCUUCUUCCCCCAUUUUGGACUGGUAUCUAAAUCAAAUGGUAUAUAAACAUGUGGACAAUAACCAUGGGUGCAUUCAGUAUUCAGUGUUCACUGGAUGGCCCUCCAGUUCUAUCCUGUGUCUCUGUAUUUCUUUCACACCUCUGUUCUUCCUACCUAAUUUUUCUAAUCCCCACGCCCCUACCCAGGGACGUGUGAACCCUGUCGAGACUGGAUCCCAACACCGUAGGCGACGGGUAGCUGAAAUGCAGGACUGUUGUUUUGAAAUAGUGGAUCCCAGUCCUACCACAGAAAUGAAUAAAAAUUUUUACAAAAUA
This is a non-coding RNA of Myodes glareolus (Bank vole), 2441 nucleotides long. The record is from RefSeq and is a predicted model, not a curated record. NCBI's taxonomy places the organism in Eukaryota, Metazoa, Chordata, Mammalia, Rodentia, Cricetidae.